Long non-coding RNA from Salvelinus fontinalis (brook trout), 1920 nucleotides. RefSeq lists it as uncharacterized. NCBI's taxonomy places the organism in Eukaryota, Metazoa, Chordata, Actinopteri, Salmoniformes, Salmonidae. The transcript is spliced from 3 exons. The record is from RefSeq and is a predicted model, not a curated record.
UUGGGUCCUGGAUGCUGAUUGUCCCCCCCCCCCAUUUCAGAGUUCACAAUAUUCAUAUGCCAUUUGGAGUGCAGAGCAGCAAAGCAUUUUCACUGCCCAUACUGCCCCAAGACCUAUGUAAAUAGGAGUGAUUUUACCAAACACAUUCCACAAUGUGAGUCAGUAUGUGGGCGAGACCCAGGUGCAACUGCGAGAGGCCCAGAUGUAACCAGUGCAACUGCGAGAGGCCCAGGUUCAGCGUGUCCAGCUAUGAGACCUGCAAGCAAGAGGAAAAUCAAAUGUCGUAACUGCAGUUUAUGGCUUAACAAAAAUAGCCUGAAGAAACAUCAAUUAAGGAAGCAUACAUCUGCUGAGAAGUACAUUACUGCUCACUCCAAUCUCAAAAGACAGUGCUUUGACCAGGACAAUUGGGUGUUUGCAGAGGAUCAACACAUUUUCCCUGUCUCUCCUUCUCCUGGUGAGCAGCAAUACAUAAUAUAUACACUGAGUGUACCACCAUUAUGAACACCUUCCUAAUAUUGAAUUGCACACCCCCCUUUUCCCUCAGCCUCAAUUCGUCGGGCCAUUGACUCCACAAGGUGUCGAAAGCGUUCCACAGGGAUGCUGGUCCAUGUUGACUCCAAUGCUUCCUACAGUUGUGUCAAGUUGGCUGGAGGACCAUUCUUGAUGCACAUGGGAAACUGUUAAGCGUAAAAAAUCCAGCAGCGUUGCCGUUCUUGACACACAAACCGGUGCGCCUGGCACGUACAACCAUACCCUGUUCAAAGGCACUUAAAUAUUUUCUCUUGCCCAUUCACCCUCUGAAUGGCACACAUACACAAUCCAUGUCUCAAUUGUGUCAAGGAUUAAAAAUCCUUCUUUAACCUGUCUCCUCCCCUUCAUCUACACUGAUUGAAGUGGAUUUAACAAGUGACAUCAAUAAGGGAUCAUAGCUUUUACCUGGUCAGUAUGUCAUGGAAAGAGCUGUUCCUAAUGUUUUGUAAAAUCUGUAUAUGAUGAUAAUAAAAUAUAUAAUGUAUUCCAUUUACAUAUGCCAAUACCUCACUCAUAUUUCAGUACCAGCGGUGGAGGGAGAGAUGGGAAGGAUGUGCCCAUUCUACGCCGAGGUUACCCACUGGGCACAGACGUCAAUUCAACGUCAAUUCCACGUUGAUUCAACAUAAUUUCAUUGAAAUGGCAUGCAAACAACGUUGAUUCAACCAGUGUGUGCCCAGUGGGUAGACACAUCUUCCAUGUCUCCCCUGCUCCUGGUGGGCAGCAAUAUACACUUACCUCAUUCUUGUCUACCUUGUUGUGUUAUAGAUUAAAUGCCCCUUAAAAUGUCUUUCAGCGUUCAUUCGGGAAAUGCUUACCAAGCAAGAGGUGAUACUGGAACAACAGACACUCAUCCUACGACUGUUACAAACAGGACAGCAGAAUGGAGCAGAAUAUGCGAUUGAAAAUGGCCUUCUGCCAUUGAAGGAUCAGCAAGGUCUCCAGAGCCUGGAAACUGAUCUUCAGGGGGCUGACUUCAAACUUAAAAUGAUUAACCACUUGAGACUAAUUGGGGGAUGCGACGUGAAAGAUGCUGUGUGGCGUUUAAUGAUGCGCACAAUUUCUAAACCCGCAAGCAAAAAACAUGAAUCGGAGAGGAGUAAAUAGAAAAAUGUCUCUUGCAUCCCUUCGACUGUGGGAGGUUUUGCUAAAACCAAUGGUUAAAAUCACUUUAGCAAUGAGAUGAACUGAGCAGUGGGUCUGCAAAUGUACCGGAUGUCACUCAGUCAGGCACUGUUGUGUGAUACCUCAAAGUAUGUGUGGGUAAAACACACACUCACACACACACACAAGGGUAAGGAUGUUUUGAAUCAUUCUCACAGAAAUGUAAGAACAUAAGAUGUAGUUCACAAUGAAAGUUUCACACAGUGAAAAUAUGAGUGCCAC